RNAcentral lists this ribosomal RNA (1210 nucleotides) under Lacticaseibacillus rhamnosus. RNAcentral describes it as "bacterial SSU rRNA". It matches the Rfam family "Bacterial small subunit ribosomal RNA", at positions 294 to 1477 of the family's 1533-position model. The record is from RNAcentral. Lineage: Bacteria; Bacillati; Bacillota; Bacilli; Lactobacillales; Lactobacillaceae.
ACGCUUAGCAUUCGUCUCAUCUGGGACCUGAGUACUCGGUCCUAGAACGCCUACCGAAGCAUGCAGUAGGGCAAUUCUAUCCACAUUGAUCGCAGUCUGAAUGGAGCACGCAGCGUUGAAGUGAAGAAAGCCUUCGGAUCGUAAACUCCGGUUGGUGGAAGUAAGAAAUCGUCAGGCAAGAAGUAACUGUUGUUCGGCGUGACCGGUAUCCAAACCAGAAAGCCACGACUUAUUUACGUGCCAGCAUGCGCGGUAAUACGUAGGUGGCAAGCGUAUCCGGAUUCAUUGGGCGUAAAGCGAGCGCAGGCCGGUUUUUUUAAGUUUGAUGUGAAAGCCCUCGGCUUAACCGAGGAAGUGCAUCGGAAACUGGGAACUUGAGUGCAGAAGAGGACAGUGGAACUCCAUGUGUAGCGGUGAAAUGCGUAGAUAUAUGGAAGAACACCAGUGGCGAAGGCGGCUGUCUGGUCUGUAACUGACGCUGAGGCUCGAAAGCAUGGGUAGCGAACAGGAUUAGAUACCCUGGUAGUCCAUGCCGUAAACGAUGAAUGCUAGGUGUUGGAGGGUUUCCGCCCUUCAGUGCCGCAGCUAACGCAUUAAGCAUUCCGCCUGGGGAGUACGACCGCAAGGUUGAAACUCAAAGGAAUUGACGGGGGCCCGCACAAGCGGUGGAGCAUGUGGUUUAAUUCGAAGCAACGCGAAGAACCUUACCAGGUCUUGACAUCUUUUGAUCACCUGAGAGAUCAGGUUUCCCCUUCGGGGGCAAAAUGACAGGUGGUGCAUGGUUGUCGUCAGCUCGUGUCGUGAGAUGUUGGGUUAAGUCCCGCAACGAGCGCAACCCUUAUGACUAGUUGCCAGCAUUUAGUUGGGCACUCUAGUAAGACUGCCGGUGACAAACCGGAGGAAGGUGGGGAUGACGUCAAAUCAUCAUGCCCCUUAUGACCUGGGCUACACACGUGCUACAAUGGAUGGUACAACGAGUUGCGAGACCGCGAGGUCAAGCUAAUCUCUUAAAGCCAUUCUCAGUUCGGACUGUAGGCUGCAACUCGCCUACACGAAGUCGGAAUCGCUAGUAAUCGCGGAUCAGCACGCCGCGGUGAAUACGUUCCCGGGCCUUGUACACACCGCCCGUCACACCAUGAGAGUUUGUAACACCCGAAGCCGGUGGCGUAACCCUUUUAGGGAGCGAGCCGUCUAAGGUGACAAAUGUUGA